GACGAACGCUGGCGGCGUGCUUAACACAUGCAAGUCGAACGGUAGGGCCCUUCGGGGUACACGAGUGGCGAACGGGUGAGUAACACGUGGGUGAUCUGCCCUGCACUUCGGGAUAAGCCUGGGAAACUGGGUCUAAUACCGGAUAGGACCACUGCCUGCAUGGGUGGUGGUGGAAAGCUUUUGCGGUGUGGGAUGGGCCCGCGGCCUAUCAGCUUGUUGGUGGGGUGAUGGCCUACCAAGGCGACGACGGGUAGCCGGCCUGAGAGGGUGACCGGCCACACUGGGACUGAGAUACGGCCCAGACUCCUACGGGAGGCAGCAGUGGGGAAUAUUGCACAAUGGGCGCAAGCCUGAUGCAGCGACGCCGCGUGAGGGAUGACGGCCUUCGGGUUGUAAACCUCAUUCAGCACCGACGAAGCGCAAGUGACGGUAGGUGCAGAAGAAGGACCGGCCAACUACGUGCCAGCCGCCGCGGUAA
RNAcentral lists this ribosomal RNA (478 nucleotides) under uncultured bacterium. RNAcentral's name for it is "partial 16S ribosomal RNA". It matches the Rfam family "Bacterial small subunit ribosomal RNA", at positions 28 to 523 of the family's 1533-position model. The record is from RNAcentral.